UGGGGAAUAUUGGACAAUGGGCGAAAGCCUGAUCCAGCCAUGCCGCGUGGGUGAAGAAGGCCUUCGGGUUGUAAAGCCCUUUUGUUGGGGAAGAAAUCCUGCUGGCUAAUACCCGGCGGGGAUGACGGUACCCAAAGAAUAAGCACCGGCUAACUUCGUGCCAGCAGCCGCGGUAAUACGAAGGGUGCAAGCGUUACUCGGAAUUACUGGGCGUAAAGCGUGCGUAGGUGGUGGCUUAAGUCCGUUGUGAAAGCCCUGGGCUCAACCUGGGAAUUGCAGUGGAUACUGGGUCACUAGAGUGUGGUAGAGGGUGGCGGAAUUCCCGGUGUAGCAGUGAAAUGCGUAGAGAUCGGGAGGAACACCCGUGGCGAAGGCGGCCACCUGGGCCAACACUGACACUGAGGCACGAAAGCGUGGGGAGCAAACAG
Molecule: ribosomal RNA, 428 nt
Filed under: uncultured bacterium
Lineage: Bacteria
Description: bacterial SSU rRNA
Rfam family: Bacterial small subunit ribosomal RNA
Source: RNAcentral